Molecule: long non-coding RNA, 1223 nt
Filed under: Cucumis sativus (cucumber)
Lineage: Eukaryota; Viridiplantae; Streptophyta; Magnoliopsida; Cucurbitales; Cucurbitaceae
Description: long non-coding RNA (CSAT_LNC002105)
Source: RNAcentral
UUUUACUCAUUUGGUACAUUUCUUGUUGAACCAAGGUAUAAUUUGUUCUUCUUUGAUGGUUCAAAAUAAUCACUCUACGUUUGACUUUGGUUCUUUUAUUAUCUGGCACAACUUUUAUAUAUAGUUAUUUUCUUUGGUAAAUUUAUUAUAUUAUUAGAUAUAUUAAUUUGUUAGUUUUGUGUACUAUCCAAGGCAGUAAAGAAGUGUAGAAUGACAACUCCUUUCUAUUUUCUAAUUCACUUUUACAAAUAUUAGUUUUAGUAGUUUUUUAUUUUACUCAUUUGGUCAUAUAUUUCUUUUCUUUUGGAAUGGAUGUGUAAUUUUAUUUUUGUUGGAUGGUUUGAAAUAUUUAGGUUCAUGUGGUCAUUCUUCUAGUUUUAAUUUUGAAUAAUUAUAAUUUGUGACAAUUUUUAGAAUAAUGACUAAGUGUAUAGUAAUUAGAGGUUUAAGAAUAACUUGGGUAAUCCGACAACUUGGAUUAUCCAAUCCAUAUUAUAUGGGUUGGGUUGGGUUAGGUUAAAAUAUGGAUUGGAUUGGGUUGGGUUGAAAAAAUGAAUUUUUUUUAGUUGGGUUUAGUCUCGGGUUGUAAGGUUGAAAAAUUCGAUCCAAACCAACCCAAAUUAAUACAAAAUAUAUAUAUAUAUAUAUAUAAAUAAAUAUUCCUCUCUUCUCACUCUCAAUCCUCCUUUGCGCGUCGCAUCCCUUUUAUUCUCACAUCUCCUACGUCUUCGACAUCUCCUUCGUCUCUGACUUUCCUUCAUCUCUGACUCUCCUUGUCCUACUUAUCCCGCGCAUUCCUUAUAUUAUCACAUCUCCUCCGUCUUCGACAUCUUCAUUUCUAACUCUCCUCUAUCUUUGAUCUUCACAGUUCAUCUCGUUAGAUCUCAGAUCUCAUAUACUCGCAGUUCGACGUCAUGUUCUUCUUUGUCAAUCUCUUCAGCUUCUGAAUAACCCGACAAUCCAAUUUAUAUUUUAUGGGUUGGUUUAGAAACUUGAUUUAACCCAAAUAACCUAAAAGUAUGGGUUUGGUUGAGAUGUUUCUCAACCCAACCUUACUACACCCUUAACAGCAACUUUUUUAAAAAUUGCAGAUAUAGCAAAAUUCUUUAGUGAUAAACUUCUAUCGCUCAUAGAUUAUUAUGGUCUAUCAUGAUUGAUUUUGACAGAUUUUGCUUUAUUUGUAAAUUUUUUAAAAUGUUGCUAUAUAUUUAAUUAUUUUAAAU